AACCAAGCGAAAGGAGGUGAUCCAAUGUCUAGUGAGAUCCGCGCAGGCGGGAGCGACUUUGGGUAUGAGGUGAUUUCGACGAGGCAGCCCUCGGCGAAGUAGCCCUUUCUCUCCGAACCGCUUGGUGCAAACGGUUCCAACGGUUCAAGUCACCCCGUGUGACGGUAUCAUGGAAGGACUGUUCGAGUUAUCGGACAGUCCU
RNAcentral lists this small RNA (202 nucleotides) under Pelagibacterium halotolerans. RNAcentral describes it as "caulobacter sRNA CC2171". The record is from RNAcentral. Lineage: Bacteria; Pseudomonadati; Pseudomonadota; Alphaproteobacteria; Hyphomicrobiales; Devosiaceae.